GCAAACCAAUUCUUUGUCACCUUCUGACCAAGAGAGAUGAAUGUCAAGGCCUGAAGUCUUUCCCCACCAGCAGCGACCACCGCCACCGUCACCGCCGCGCCGCUAUAUAAGCCGCGCUGCCUCUCUCCGUCACCACCAUUCACACUCCUGCACCAACAUGGCUUGUAAGGUGGGUUGGAUUCCCACACUAACACACACAGGGCCUGCCUCACACACGCGCCAGUUGUCUCACACGCCUCACUAACGCUCACCUCAUUCCUCAUACCCGCAGCUCAUCCUCGUCCUGGCAGCCCUCGUGGCCCUCUCCGCCGCUUCCUACGUGCCCCAGGACUCCUAUGGAGCAGCGCCCGCCAACUAUAACUUCAACUGGGCUGUCAACGACGCUGCUUCCAGCAACAACUACGGCCACCAGGAAGCCCGCGACGGAGACAACACGCAGGGAUACUACUUCGUGCAGCUGCCCGACGGUCGCCUGCAGAAGGUCACCUACUCUGUGCAGGGCAAUUCAGGCUACCUGGCCGAGGUCACUUACGAGGGCGAGGCCCAGUACCCUCAGCGAGGAUACGGGGUCCCCACCAGGCCCCCGACGCCGACCUACGGCACCCCAGGCCCGAGCUACGCCCGCUGAGCACACUUCCCUCCCUCCCGACGCCAGGACCCUCACCUCGCCCCCCUCACCCCAUUCUGUAUUUAUUAUCUCUCUCCGUGCAUAACUUGCAAUAAAGACAAGGCAA
Long non-coding RNA from Scylla paramamosain (green mud crab), 734 nucleotides. RefSeq lists it as uncharacterized. Lineage: Eukaryota; Metazoa; Arthropoda; Malacostraca; Decapoda; Portunidae. The record is from RefSeq and is a predicted model, not a curated record. The transcript is spliced from 2 exons.